This 429-nucleotide ribosomal RNA is filed under the name uncultured anaerobic ammonium-oxidizing bacterium. Its description in RNAcentral is "bacterial SSU rRNA". It matches the Rfam family "Bacterial small subunit ribosomal RNA", at positions 383 to 810 of the family's 1533-position model. The record is from RNAcentral.
GUGAACGAGCGACGCCGCGUGCAGGAUGAAGGCCUUCGGGUUGUAAACUCCUGUCGAGGGGGAACAAGGGGCCGUGAAGAGCGGUCCUCGAGUGGUCCCUGGAGGAAGCACGGGCUAAGUUCGUGCCAGCAGCCGCGGUAAGACGAACCGUGCUAACGUUAUUCGGAAUCACUGGGCUUAAAGCGCGUGUAGGCGGUCCGGCACGUUCGUCGCUGAAAUCCCCCGGCUCAACCGGGGAACGGGCGCGGAUACGACCGGGCUAGAGGGAGGUAGGGGGAGCUGGAACUUCCGGUGGAGCGGUGAAAUGCGUUGAGAUCGGAAGGAACGCCCGUGGCGAAAGCGGGCUCCUGGACCUUGCCUGACGCUGAGACGCGAAAGCCAGGGGAGCGAACGGGAUUAGAUACCCCGGUAGUCCUGGCCGUAAACGAU